UAUACCAGUUGCUUACAGAAAGUAAGUGUAGACGUUUCGUUACGUACGCCGUGUAGUUUUUUGUGGCUAGUCCCAACUGUUUUAGUUUUGUUUUUGGUUUACCAUUUCACCAGCGGCCCUGGAAUCACAUCCGGCUGAAACCUCAGAAAAUAUGGGAGUCUCAGAGGAAAUUACACCUACGGCUGGGGUGGAGCCGCGACCGCCAGGACAAGAACAUAGUGAUGGAAGUGAUCCAGAGCCGGACGAUUUUGCUCCAAAACGAAAACAGCGUCGAUAUCGAACCACUUUUACUAGUUUUCAAUUGGAGGAAUUGGAGAAGGCGUUUUCCCGGACGCACUAUCCAGACGUUUUCACAAGGGAAGAGCUGGCAAUGAAAAUUGGAUUAACGGAAGCAAGAAUACAGGUAAGAAAAUGAAAACUG
Molecule: long non-coding RNA, 421 nt
Organism: Dendroctonus ponderosae (mountain pine beetle)
Lineage: Eukaryota; Metazoa; Arthropoda; Insecta; Coleoptera; Curculionidae
Exons: 3
Source: RefSeq, a predicted model, not a curated record